UUUCCGUAGGUGAACCUGCGGGAGGAUCAUUAAAGAGAAUAUGCCCUUCGGGGUAGAUCUCCCACCCUUUGUUUAUAUUACCUUUGUUGCUUUGGCAGGCCCGUCUUCGGACCACCGGCUUCGGCUGGUCAGUGCUUGCCAGAGGACCCAAAACCCUUAUUAUUAAUGUCGUCUGAGUACUAUAUAAUAGUUAAAACUUUCAACAACGGAUCUCUUGGUUCUG
This 223-nucleotide unclassified non-coding RNA is filed under the name plant metagenome. RNAcentral describes it as "partial contains small subunit ribosomal RNA, internal transcribed spacer 1, and 5.8S ribosomal RNA". The record is from RNAcentral.